AGAGUUUGAUCCUGGCUCAGGACGAACGCUGGCGGCGUGCUUAACACAUGCAAGUCGAACGGAAAGGCCCUUCGGGGUACUCGAGUGGCGAACGGGUGAGUAACACGUGGGUGAUCUGCCCUGCACUCUGGGAUAAGCCUGGGAAACUGGGUCUAAUACCGGAUAGGACCACACACUUCAUGGUGAGUGGUGCAAAGCUUUUGCGGUGUGGGAUGAGCCCGCGGCCUAUCAGCUUGUUGGUGGGGUAAUGGCCCACCAAGGCGACGACGGGUAGCCGGCCUGAGAGGGUGACCGGCCACACUGGGACUGAGAUACGGCCCAGACUCCUACGGGAGGCAGCAGUGGGGAAUAUUGCACAAUGGGCGCAAGCCUGAUGCAGCGACGCCGCGUGAGGGAUGACGGCCUUCGGGUUGUAAACCUCUUUCAGUAGGGACGAAGCGAAAGUGACGGUACCUACAGAAGAAGGACCGGCCAACUACGUGCCAGCAGCCGCGGUAAUACGUAGGGUCCGAGCGUUGUCCGGAAUUACUGGGCGUAAAGAGCUCGUAGGUGGUUUGUCGCGUUGUUCGUGAAAACUCACAGCUUAACUGUGGGCGUGCGGGCGAUACGGGCAGACUUGAGUACUGCAGGGGAGACUGGAAUUCCUGGUGUAGCGGUGGAAUGCGCAGAUAUCAGGAGGAACACCGGUGGCGAAGGCGGGUCUCUGGGCAGUAACUGACGCUGAGGAGCGAAAGCGUGGGGAGCGAACAGGAUUAGAUACCCUGGUAGUCC
RNAcentral lists this ribosomal RNA (771 nucleotides) under uncultured bacterium. Its description in RNAcentral is "bacterial SSU rRNA". It matches the Rfam family "Bacterial small subunit ribosomal RNA", at positions 8 to 796 of the family's 1533-position model. The record is from RNAcentral.